CCUACGGGAGGCUGCAGUGGGGAAUUUUGGACAAUGGGCGCAAGCCUGAUCCAGCUAUUCCGCGUGUGGGAUGACGGCCUUCGGGUUGUAAACCACUUUUGUAGAGAACGAAAAGUCUGUUGAUAAUACCGAUAGAUGAUGACGGUACUCUAAGAAUAAGCACCGGCUAACUACGUGCCAGCAGCCGCGGUAAUACGUAGGGUGCGAGCGUUAAUCGGAAUUACUGGGCGUAAAGGGUGUGCAGGCGGUUUUGCAAGAUGGAUGUGAAAGCCCCGGGCUUAACCUGGGAAAGGCAUACAUGACUGGAAGACUAGAGUGCGUGAGAGGGGGGUGGAAUUCCAGGUGUAGCAGUGAAAUGCGUAGAUAUUUGGAAGAACACCGAUGGCGAAGGCAGCCCCCUGGGACGCAACUGACGCUGAUACACGAAAGCGUGGGGAGCAAACAGGAUUAGAUACCCUAGUAGUC
Molecule: ribosomal RNA, 465 nt
Filed under: uncultured bacterium
Lineage: Bacteria
Description: partial 16S ribosomal RNA
Rfam family: Bacterial small subunit ribosomal RNA
Source: RNAcentral